RNAcentral lists this small RNA (487 nucleotides) under Debaryomyces sp. MS-2015. Its description in RNAcentral is "eukaryotic LSU rRNA". The stretch from base 145 to 298 matches the Rfam family "5.8S ribosomal RNA". The record is from RNAcentral. Lineage: Eukaryota; Fungi; Ascomycota; Pichiomycetes; Serinales; Debaryomycetaceae.
UUUUUUGUUAUUACAAGAACUUUUGCUUUGGUCUGGACUAGAAAUAGUUUGGGCCAGAGGUUUACUGAACUAAACUUCAAUAUUUAUAUUGAAUUGUUAUUUAUUUAAUUGUCAAUUUGUUGAUUAAAUUCAAAAAAUCUUCAAAACUUUCAACAACGGAUCUCUUGGUUCUCGCAUCGAUGAAGAACGCAGCGAAAUGCGAUAAGUAAUAUGAAUUGCAGAUUUUCGUGAAUCAUCGAAUCUUUGAACGCACAUUGCGCCCUCUGGUAUUCCAGAGGGCAUGCCUGUUUGAGCGUCAUUUCUCUCUCAAACCUUCGGGUUUGGUAUUGAGUGAUACUCUUAGUUGAACUAGGCGUUUGCUUGAAAUGUAUUGGCAUGAGUGGUACUGGAUAGUGCUAUAUGACUUUCAAUGUAUUAGGUUUAUCCAACUCGUUGAAUAGUUUAAUGGUAUAUUUCUCGGUAUUCUAGGCUCGGCCUUACAAUAUAA